GGUGGUAGUAGCCCACUAUAGCCAGCAGGUGGCAGUGUCGUAUUGGUACAUGGGCUGCUCAUUGUGAAACUGCAUUGGGUUUGUGGACAUCUGUCUACAGCUAUGAACUAUCAGUUGUAAGUGAAUCAUGAAUGUAUGUGUACACUGCUUGUGGUUGUAACCACAUAUGGGUUUUGUAUGUGUUCAAUGUUAGCUGCUAAGAAGGCCAAGAAGUUGAGCAAACCUUUGAAGAGGCAGAUGUCCUCACCCAAUUUCCAUCGCAAAGAGAAAGCAGUGGAGAAAACCCCUUCGAGGGACAACACUCCAUUCAGAGUGAGUGCCCAGAAGAGUAAAUGGGACAGCUCUCGCUCCAUUCGCUACAACCAAGACGCCCAAAGAGAGGAAGACCAGCGGCGUAUGGUGGAGAUCAUUGGUCAUCUGACUAAGAUUAGGUUCGGAGAUCAGGAACAGAGGAAGUCCAAGGACACUAAAGACGUGUGUUUUACUGAGUCGAUUACAGUCGACUUCAUUUACAUUGUGUUUGUGUAUAGUGUGGUUGUCACUGGUGUACCACCCCCCUGUUGUGGUUGUAUAAUGUGUGGUUGUAUAAUGUGUGGUUGUAUAAUGUGUGGUUGUAUAAUUUGUGGUUGUAUAAUUUGUGGUUGUAUCAUUUGUGGUUGUGGUUGUAUAAUGUGUGGUUGUAUAAUAUGUAGUUGUGGUUGUAUAAUUUGUGGUUGUGUUGUAUAAUGUGUGGUUGUAUAAUUUGUGGUUGUAUAAUUUGUGGUUGUAUAAUUUGUGGUUGUAUAAUGUGUGGUUGUAUAAUUUGUGGUUUGUAUAAUGUGUGGUUGUAUAAUUUGUGGUUGUAUAAUGUGUGGUUGUAUAAUGUGUGGUUGUAUAAUGUGUGGUUGUGGUUGUAUAAUGUGUGGUUGUAUAAUUUGUGGUUGUAUAAUGUGUGGUUGUAUAAUUUGUGGUUGUGGUUGUAUAAUGUUGUAUAAUGUGUGGU
Long non-coding RNA from Oncorhynchus keta (chum salmon), 982 nucleotides. RefSeq lists it as uncharacterized. The transcript has 4 exons. Lineage: Eukaryota; Metazoa; Chordata; Actinopteri; Salmoniformes; Salmonidae. The record is from RefSeq and is a predicted model, not a curated record.